AUUUUCUCUUAGUAAAAAAGCUGAAGCAAGUAAACAUGUAUGCAGAUUUCCAUUGAAAUUUGGAAAACGUUGUUUUUCAGUUUUUCAAAUGUUAAAUUGAAAACUAGGAAAGCUAUUAAAAUCAAUUUUCCAAAGUCUCUGUGAAAUUGGAAUGAUGAGAAACAAGGUUUUCUUGGAUAACAGAUUCCAUUUCUUUACUGGUAAUUACAUUUUCUAAUUAUUUUCUUGCAAGUUUUCUAGAUCUAAAUGCACUGUAAAUUUCCUUUCUUUUCAGACCUCUCUUUUGCAAUGAUGUUGUCCUUACUUAUCUAAAGAAAGCAUAUGCUUGAUUCAAGAGAAGUUUUAGUGGUUGUUGGAGAAUUGGCGAAUUUCCAUGCAGAAUAGACAAUCACAAUCGUGAAAAUGUAGGCUGGUUAUUUA
This 420-nucleotide unclassified non-coding RNA is filed under the name Hevea brasiliensis (rubber tree). The record is from RNAcentral. Lineage: Eukaryota; Viridiplantae; Streptophyta; Magnoliopsida; Malpighiales; Euphorbiaceae.